Molecule: long non-coding RNA, 651 nt
Organism: Eriocheir sinensis (Chinese mitten crab)
Lineage: Eukaryota; Metazoa; Arthropoda; Malacostraca; Decapoda; Varunidae
Exons: 3
Source: RefSeq, a predicted model, not a curated record
CCGGCUGCAGGUGUUUGGCCUGCAGCACCAGCCGCGGCAGGUGUUUGCCCUGUAGCAGCACCGGCUGCAGGUGUUUGGCCUGCAGCACCACCCGCGGCAGGUGUUUGGCCUGCAGCACCACCCACGGCAGGUGUGCAAGCUUGCAGCCAGCUUCUAGUUGGGUGGUAUGUAAAGGUGUCAAUGCUGACAUAUUAAUAAAAAAAUGCAGUUAAUAAGACAGGCACGGCUGUAACUGAAAGUGUUGGUUACCUUUAGAGGCAGUACAGCUGGAGCGCCUGCAUCCUUUCCCAUAAAACUUAUUUAUUUCACAUAAUUUAUAGGGGAAAAUCGUCAUAGAGACAAGUAAAAUUGCAAUUGUUCAUUUGAAUAUUUUUUUGUGUCUGUAUUAGAGCUAAAAUUAUCCCUUUAGGUAAUCUUUCAAACUUGUCACAACUCUAUACACAGGCAAAUACCAAAAUGGUGGCCAGUGAGUAUCAUAAAUUUUCCGUACUUUUCAGUUGUAAUUACAUAACACUGCUUCCUUGCUAGAGAUGGCAGAGGCUCAUCGUCCAUCUUAUAAAUGUCCUUUCUGUACUUUGGUGGCACCAACUAGUACCUACAUUAUUGAUCAUCAAAUGUUUGCCCACUCACACCUUGUUCAACAGAGAGAAG